Molecule: long non-coding RNA, 1706 nt
Organism: Zingiber officinale
Lineage: Eukaryota; Viridiplantae; Streptophyta; Magnoliopsida; Zingiberales; Zingiberaceae
Exons: 3
Source: RefSeq, a predicted model, not a curated record
UACUUUAAUUUUAAAUGCCCGCUUGCUUCUUCGUCGAUCGCUCACUCCAUCGAAUCGAUCACGGAGAGGAAACGAAGUGAGCGAAGAAUCCGAUCGAGAACGAGGAGCAUGUAAUCGAGAUCGAACGGCGGCGAUGCUGUUGAUGGCUGGGCUGGCGGAGGCCGGCGACCACAACGGCGUUUUCGGCCCGUGCGACGACGCGAUGGUCCGGCCGCAGGAGGGAUUCACCCUUGGGAUUCCCUUCUCCGACAUCAGCAGGUUCUACCUCAACCAGUAAUGGACCUUGCAGCUCUCCCCCUGCGAUCUUCCGCCCAAUGGUCGACGAGAUCUCACUCUUCACCGUCAACAACACCACCAACCCUUCCUUAUCAACUUAUCAUGGCAGAGGAGAGCUGAGACCUUCCUGUAAAGCCAUGGGAUGCUGUGGUUGGUACCUUGAUGACACUGAACUCAGCCUCUUCCUUAAGGAAGGUUUCUUUAUCACCUGCUUUACAGUAGCUCUUGCAUACAUCAUCUGAAAGAGUGGAGAUGCCUUCUCUCUCAGCUUCAGAAUGAGAAAGAAGAUGGUUCUGUAUGAAAUGAGCAGCACAAACAAAGCCAUCAAAUCUAGCCACUUGGAAUGCUUCAAACUGACCCCGAGCAUGUGUUCGAUUAUGUAUGUUCCUCUCAGUUUGGGGCUUCCAGGUACUAACGGGUCAAACUCGAGUCCGAUCAGAUCAUUCUUGAGGUUUCCCUACGCACAGAAGGUUUCUCACUUGCAAUGCCCAUGAUCCGUAGCUGAAAAUUGAAACAGGAUAUCGCCAAACAAUCUUGGGAAGCUCCGGCAGUAAUCGAAAAAAGCCUGCAGUCAUCAUCAUAAUUCCCUGAAAUUUAGAAUGCAAAAUCAAAGUGGUUACACAAUGUGCAUAAAUAUAUGAUCCUUCCCCAAAUGCCUGUAAAAGAGUUGCUUACAAUGAGGCCAGCUCCAGUUAUGAUACCCAUCAAAUAAUUAGGCACAAGUGAUGCCACAAUCAUCAUUAGGCUCUCUAUGUCAGCAAUGCCAGCAUAGAGAGUGAGAGUAUAGUAAGCAAAGUGAGAGAAGCCCGUCCUAAACUUCACCAUGUAGUAUGUUAUUGAACCACUGGAGAGAGCUAUGGCCCCCAAGAAAGGUGCUGAAGACAGAAAAUUGGAGAGUGUGUACACUGCAACUCCAUAAUGGCCAUUGCGCCUUUCACGUUUGAAGACCUUCAUCUCUUCAAUGAAGGAUGGGAAGCCGCCGAUGGACAUGAAUGUGAGGAAGCCUGAAACGAAGCCCCCGCAAGAAGAUCUUGCUAGAAUGGCUGUGUAGCUCGUGCCAACAUCAAAGAAAAUGGUGCCCACGCACACAGAGACCAGCAUAUAAACGAUGAUCCUUAGCCAAUAGUAUCCAAUGUCCCUGGACAUGUUCACAGAGGAUCUCUUUGUGAGAAUUGUGAGCUGCUUCCACCAAGUGGCCUGGCUACCUUUCUCUGAUUCAACUGUGAGUCCUUCCUUCAAUGAAAGAAAAAUACAAGAAAAUGUUUUUAUUUGUUUACAGCUACGAAAAAAGGUGAAUUUGAGUUAUAAAUAAGAAGCUUACAAUCUUGCAUAUCUCUUGAAUCUGCUUUUUGGUAUCCAUGGCAUACUCUGAGCAUUUGUAUGCAUCAAUGAGGAUUCCUUUAAUCUGUGCAGUAGCUAAUUUUGACAAA